Molecule: long non-coding RNA, 117 nt
Organism: Thalassophryne amazonica
Lineage: Eukaryota; Metazoa; Chordata; Actinopteri; Batrachoidiformes; Batrachoididae
Exons: 3
Source: RefSeq, a predicted model, not a curated record
AUGAUUAUUUUUCUUUAUUUACCCUGGUAUUAUAUUAUAUUAUACCUGGUGUUCAUAUACUAUUGACUUAAAGAAAUUUAGAUUGUAGACAACAUGAUUAGCGUCUUGAAACAAAAC